UAGGGAAUCUUCCGCAAUGGACGAAAGUCUGACGGAGCGACGCCGCGUGAGCGAAGAAGGUCUUCGGAUCGUAAAGCUCUGUUGUUAGGGAAGAAGAAGUGCCGUUCGAACAGGGCGGCACGGUGACGGUACCUAACGAGAAAGCCCCGGCUAACUACGUGCCAGCAGCCGCGGUAAUACGUAGGGGGCGAGCGUUGUCCGGAAUUAUUGGGCGUAAAGCGCGCGCAGGCGGUCCCUUAAGUCUGAUGUGAAAGCCCACGGCUUAACCGUGGAGGGUCAUUGGAAACUGGGGGACUUGAGUGCAGAAGAGGAGAGCGGAAUUCCACGUGUAGCGGUGAAAUGCGUAGAGAUGUGGAGGAACACCAGUGGCGAAGGCGGCUCUCUGGUCUGUAACUGACGCUGAGGCGCGAAAGCGUGGGGAGCAAACAGG
This 430-nucleotide ribosomal RNA is filed under the name bacterium. RNAcentral describes it as "partial 16S ribosomal RNA". It matches the Rfam family "Bacterial small subunit ribosomal RNA", at positions 355 to 776 of the family's 1533-position model. The record is from RNAcentral. RNAcentral also lists the same sequence under 1 other name.